This is a long non-coding RNA of Gymnogyps californianus (California condor), 463 nucleotides long. RefSeq lists it as uncharacterized. The record is from RefSeq and is a predicted model, not a curated record. NCBI's taxonomy places the organism in Eukaryota, Metazoa, Chordata, Aves, Accipitriformes, Cathartidae. The transcript has 4 exons.
UGGAGACCCUGGCUGAAACUCGUCUGUGUCAGAUCUGGGAGACCAAGCUGUGCUGCUUUCAGGAUCCUGUGGUUGGCAACACGCGGGGAAAACCAAGGUGAGGGGCAGAUAACAACAAGAAAUGACUGUCUUGAAGAACUGAAGCUUUUAUUGGAGCGGCUCUCUGUUUAGUAGACGGAUGAACACGCCGAGAGGACAACACAAUCAAAAGGUGCCCCAAGUGCUGGAAGGAUGCAGCUGACGUGAAGGCAGUGAAAGCCUUUGGAAGCCAAAUGCUCAGAGGUGACGGCCCAGCAUCCGUCCGUAUUAGUUGGGAAACGGGGAAGAUUGCGACCCAGAAGUAUGAAAUUCAGCAGCUUCCUAUGAGUGUGCCGAGAGGAGGAGAAAUACUCCAGACCAGAUUAUGAAACCCCGGAGGUGGAUUUAAGGGCACUGGCCUUUCUCUGACGAGGGGAAGGUGACA